This 476-nucleotide ribosomal RNA is filed under the name uncultured bacterium. RNAcentral's name for it is "bacterial SSU rRNA". It matches the Rfam family "Bacterial small subunit ribosomal RNA", at positions 28 to 507 of the family's 1533-position model. The record is from RNAcentral.
GAUGAACGCUGGCGGCGUGCCUCAAACAUGCAAGUCGAGCGAGGCUAUGAGUUACCGCAAGGGUAAGGCAUAGCCUAGCGGCGAACGGGUGAGUAACACGUGGGUAACCUACCUGGAAGACAGGGAUAACGAUUCGAAAGGGUCGCUAAUACCUGAUAAUAUCCAUCUGCCGGAUGGCGGAGGGAAGAAAGGGGAAACCCGCUUUCAGAUGGGCCCGCGUCCCAUCAGCUAGUUGGUAAGGUAAAGGCUUACCAAGGCGACGACGGGUAGCCGGUCUGAGAGGAUGUACGGCCACACUGGGACUGAGAUACGGCCCAGACUCCUACGGGAGGCAGCAGUUGGGAAUCUUAGGCAAUGGACGAAAGUCUGACCUAGCGACGCCGCGUGAGGGAAGAAGGCCUUCGGGUUGUAAACCUCUGUCAUGGGGGAAGAAGGAAGUGACGGUACCCCAAGAGGAAGCCCCUGCUAACUACGUG